AACAAACGGGAAGGAAGGCGGGCUGGAACCUCUCGGGGUUACAGCCUUGCUGAAUUAUUCACCCUUGUCUUUUGCGUACUUCUUGUUUCCUUGGUGGGUUCGCCCACCACUAGGACAAACAUAAACCUUUUGUAAUUGCAAUCAGCGUCAGUAACAAAUUAAUAAUUACAACUUUCAACAACGGAUCUCUUGGUUCUGGCAUCGAUGAAGAACGCAGCGAAAUGCGAUAAGUAGUGUGAAUUGCAGAAUUCAGUGAAUCAUCGAAUCUUUGAACGCACAUUGCGCCCUUUGGUAUUCCAAAGGGCAUGCCUGUUCGAGCGUCAUUUGUACCCUCAAGCUUUGCUUGGUGUUGGGCGUCUUGUCUCUAGCUUUGCUGGAGACUCGCCUUAAAGUAAUUGGCAGCCGGCCUACUGGUUUCGGAGCGCAGCACAAGUCGCACUCUCUAUCAGCAAAGGUCUAGCAUCCAUUAAGCCUUUUUUUCAACUCUUGACCUCGGAUCAGGUAGGGAUACCCGCUGAACUUAAGCAUAUCAAUAAAGCGGAGGAA
This 546-nucleotide ribosomal RNA is filed under the name Alternaria mali. RNAcentral describes it as "eukaryotic LSU rRNA". The stretch from base 170 to 323 matches the Rfam family "5.8S ribosomal RNA". Lineage: Eukaryota; Fungi; Ascomycota; Dothideomycetes; Pleosporales; Pleosporaceae. The record is from RNAcentral.